RNAcentral lists this ribosomal RNA (460 nucleotides) under uncultured bacterium. RNAcentral describes it as "partial 16S ribosomal RNA". It matches the Rfam family "Bacterial small subunit ribosomal RNA", at positions 339 to 795 of the family's 1533-position model. The record is from RNAcentral.
CUACGGGAUGCAGCAGUAAGGAAUAUUGGACAAUGGUCGGAAGACUGAUCCAGCCAUGCCGCGUGAAGGAUGAAGGCGCUCAGCGUUGUAAACUUCUUUUGUACAGGAACAAAAUGCGACCUGCGGGUUGUACUGAGGGUACUGUAAGAAUAAGCACCGGCUAACUCCGUGCCAGCAGCCGCGGUAAUACGGAGGGUGCAAGCGUUAUCCGGAAUCACUGGGUUUAAAGGGUGCGUAGGCGGUCUGAUAAGUCAGUUGUGAAAUUCCCUCGCUUAACGAGUGGGACGGCGAUUGAUACGGUUGGACUUGAAUCAGGUUGAGGUAGGCGGAAUGUGGCAUGUAGCGGUGAAAUGCAUAGAUAUGCCAUAGAACACCAAUUGCGAAGGCAGCUUGCUGGGCUUUGAUUGACGCUGAGGCACGAAAGCGUGGGGAGCAAACAGGAUUAGAUACCCUCGUAGUC